RNAcentral lists this ribosomal RNA (253 nucleotides) under uncultured bacterium. RNAcentral describes it as "partial 16S ribosomal RNA". It matches the Rfam family "Bacterial small subunit ribosomal RNA", at positions 524 to 776 of the family's 1533-position model. The record is from RNAcentral.
UACGAAGGGGGCUAGCGUUGUUCGGAAUUACUGGGCGUAAAGGGCGCGUAGGCGGUCCUGAUCGUCGGAUGUGAAAGGCCUGGGCUCAACCUGGGAACUGCAUCCGAUACGGCGGGACUGGAGUGUGGGAGAGGUUGGUGGAAUUCCUGGUGUAGCGGUGAAAUGCGUAGAUAUCAGGAGGAACACCGGUGGCGAAGGCGGCUACCUGGACAGAAACUGACGCUGAGGCACGAAAGCUAGGGGAGCAAACAGG